AGUACCAGUCAAAGGUUUGGACACGCUUUCCCAUCCAAGUGAAUGAGAAAGUGUGUCCAAACUUUUGACUGGUUUGGAAAAAGAUA
Molecule: long non-coding RNA, 86 nt
Organism: Sander lucioperca (pikeperch)
Lineage: Eukaryota; Metazoa; Chordata; Actinopteri; Perciformes; Percidae
Exons: 3
Source: RefSeq, a predicted model, not a curated record